This 515-nucleotide ribosomal RNA is filed under the name uncultured bacterium. RNAcentral's name for it is "partial 16S ribosomal RNA". It matches the Rfam family "Bacterial small subunit ribosomal RNA", at positions 28 to 523 of the family's 1533-position model. The record is from RNAcentral.
GAUGAACGCUGGCGGCGUGCCUAAUACAUGCAAGUCGAGCGAAUGGAUUAAGAGCUUGCUCUUAUGAAGUUAGCGGCGGACGGGUGAGUAACACGUGGGUAACCUGCCCAUAAGACUGGGAUAACUCCGGGAAACCGGGGCUAAUACCGGAUAACAUUUUGAACCGCAUGGUUCGAAAUUGAAAGGCGGCUUCGGCUGUCACUUAUGGAUGGACCCGCGUCGCAUUAGCUAGUUGGUGAGGUAACGGCUCACCAAGGCAACGAUGCGUAGCCGACCUGAGAGGGUGAUCGGCCACACUGGGACUGAGACACGGCCCAGACUCCUACGGGAGGCAGCAGUAGGGAAUCUUCCGCAAUGGACGAAAGUCUGACGAGGCAACGCCUCGUGAGUGAUGAAGGCUUUCGGGUCGUAAAACUCUGUUGUUAGGGAAGAACAAGUGCUAGUUGAAUAAGCUGGCACCUUGACGGUACCUAACCAGAAAGCCACGGCUAACUACGUGCCAGCAGCCGCAGUAA